RNAcentral lists this transfer RNA (74 nucleotides) under Pteropus alecto (black flying fox). It matches the Rfam family "tRNA". Rfam says of the family: Transfer RNA (tRNA) molecules are approximately 80 nucleotides in length. Their secondary structure includes four short double-helical elements and three loops (D, anti-codon, and T loops). Further hydrogen bonds mediate the characteristic L-shaped molecular structure. tRNAs have two regions of fundamental functional importance: the anti-codon, which is responsible for specific mRNA codon recognition, and the 3' end, to which the tRNAs corresponding amino acid is attached (by aminoacyl-tRNA synthetases). tRNAs cope with the degeneracy of the genetic code in two manners: having more than one tRNA (with a specific anti-codon) for a particular amino acid; and 'wobble' base-pairing, i.e. permitting non-standard base-pairing at the 3rd anti-codon position. The record is from Rfam by way of RNAcentral. Lineage: Eukaryota; Metazoa; Chordata; Mammalia; Chiroptera; Pteropodidae.
GGCUCCAUAGUGUAGUGGUUAGCAUGUCUGCUCUACACGCAGAAGGUCUUGGGUUCGCGCCCCAGGUGGAGCCA